RNAcentral lists this ribosomal RNA (433 nucleotides) under uncultured bacterium. RNAcentral's name for it is "partial 16S ribosomal RNA". It matches the Rfam family "Bacterial small subunit ribosomal RNA", at positions 29 to 507 of the family's 1533-position model. The record is from RNAcentral.
AACGAACGCUGGCGGCAUGCCUAACACAUGCAAGUCGAACGAGACCUUCGGGUCUAGUGGCGCACGGGUGCGUAACGCGUGGGAACCUGCCCCUAGGUUCGGAAUAACUCCCCGAAAGGGGUGCUAAUACCGGAUAAUGUCUUCGGACCAAAGAUUUAUCGCCUUUGGAUGGGCCCGCGUUGGAUUAGCUAGUUGGUAGGGUAAAAGCCUACCAAGGCGACGAUCCAUAGCUGGUCUGAGAGGAUGAUCAGCCACACUGGGACUGAGACACGGCCCAGACUCCUACGGGAGGCAGCAGUGGGGAAUAUUGGGCAAUGGGCGAAAGCCUGAUCCAGCAAUGCCGCGUGAGUGAUGAAGGCCUUAGGGUUGUAAAGCUCUUUUACCCGGGAUGAUAAUGACAGUACCGGGAGAAUAAGCUCCGGCUAACUCCGUG